Molecule: ribosomal RNA, 440 nt
Filed under: uncultured bacterium
Lineage: Bacteria
Description: partial 16S ribosomal RNA
Rfam family: Bacterial small subunit ribosomal RNA
Source: RNAcentral
CCUACGGGCGGCAGCAGUGGGGAAUAUUGGACAAUGGGGGAAACCCUGAUCCAGCGACGCCGCGUGAGUGAAGAAGUAUUUCGGUACGUAAAGCUCUAUCAGCAGGAAAGAAAAUGAUGGUACCUGACUAAGAAGCAGCGGACAACUACGUGCCAGCAGCCGUGGUAAUAUGGAGGGGGCAAGCGUUAUCCGGAUUUACUGGGUGUAAAGGGAGCGUAGACGGCAGUGCAAGUCUGGAGUGAAAUGCCGGGGUCCAACCCCGGAACUGCUCUGGAAACUGUGAAGCUGGAGUGCAGGAGAGGCAAGCGGAAUGCCUGGUGUAGCGGUGAAAUGCAUAGAUAUCGGGAGGAACACCGGCGGCGAAGGCAGCUUGCUGGACUGUAACUGACGUUGAGGCUCGAAGGCGUGGGGAGCAAACAGGAUUAGAUACCCUAGUAGUC